Molecule: non-coding RNA, 26 nt
Filed under: Homo sapiens (human)
Lineage: Eukaryota; Metazoa; Chordata; Mammalia; Primates; Hominidae
Source: RNAcentral
UGGAGGUAACAUAGCCUGAUUGGUGU